Molecule: non-coding RNA, 80 nt
Organism: Sturnus vulgaris (Common starling)
Lineage: Eukaryota; Metazoa; Chordata; Aves; Passeriformes; Sturnidae
Source: RefSeq, a predicted model, not a curated record
AUCCAGUGUGGUCUUGAAUAUAUUAGGGAUGGGGCUUCCACAACUUCUCUGGGCAACCUGUUGCAGUGUCUCACCACCUU